This 265-nucleotide long non-coding RNA is filed under the name Mytilus galloprovincialis (Mediterranean mussel). The record is from RNAcentral. Lineage: Eukaryota; Metazoa; Mollusca; Bivalvia; Mytilida; Mytilidae.
GUUCAAUAUAUAAUGAAUACUAGAUAUAAACUGAAAAAUAACUUUACCAAGAGAAAGAAAUUGUUAUACUUUGAAAAUAUUUAGAUUGCGGAUCAAAGGUGAAGAAUGUGCAUAUUGUUUCUUGAGGAAAUUUAUAUCAAAUUUAUCGUUUAUUGACUAAACCUUUACUUUCAAACCUGAAAAGAAUACAUGUAGGCCAAUCAAACGAAUCUAAUUGAAACGUAUUGCAUACCAAUCGAUUGAUGGAUCAAAUGGUGACUCCAGC